Molecule: non-coding RNA, 567 nt
Organism: Pimephales promelas (fathead minnow)
Lineage: Eukaryota; Metazoa; Chordata; Actinopteri; Cypriniformes; Leuciscidae
Source: RefSeq, a predicted model, not a curated record
UGAAGCUAAAUUAGACACCGAAACUACGUUUAAUGACGAGACAAAGCUAUAAAUAUAUAUUAUAAUCUUUUAGCACAUUAGAUUUACUAUUUCCGCAGUAUAAUUCAGCUAGCUCGUAAAGGUGUUUGAUUGGUCCGUCUUGAAUACCGAUUUCAGACAUCCAUCCGCAGCCCUGACACACACAUUGUGCGUUUUAAAAACUAUAUGCGUGACAUUUUUCAACAUGUUUCUUGUCCCCUACUCGUCAAAGAGGAAACAUUUGCUGGACAUUGGAGACUGGAAAUCACCUGAGCUGAGGCUGUAAUGUUUCGUAUCGUUAAUGACUUUGCUCUCUGAGCAGAAACACGUGCGGCAGAUGAUGACGAUUGACGACCAUAACUGAGGGAAAAAGGAGGACCUGGCUUGUAAGAGACGGAGUGACUCUAACCUACACUUGCAAUCUCGUCUCAUUUGGACUCCAGGUUUGCAGGUUCAAUCCCAGGUGUCUGUUGGGUCACAUACUGGUAUUUCUCGGAUUGUCAACCCAUUGGACAUGCUGCUGCCGUUAACGUGUUGGUAUUGGAAACU